Molecule: long non-coding RNA, 858 nt
Filed under: Brachypodium distachyon (stiff brome)
Lineage: Eukaryota; Viridiplantae; Streptophyta; Magnoliopsida; Poales; Poaceae
Description: long non-coding RNA (BDIS_LNC003024)
Source: RNAcentral
CAAAGCCCAAACUUUUCCUGCGCGUAUCGUUCAAAUUUAGACACCAGCGCGAACGAAAUUUAAAGCAAAAAAGGAAAUUACUCUUUGCCGGCGGCCAGGAGGAAAGCCGCCGGCAAAGGCCCCAUCCGAAUUAAACCACAGAAAAUAAAAAAAACCUAAUUACUCUUUGCCGGUGGCCACGAGGAAAGACCGCCGGCAAAGCCACCAUCCGAAUUUAACCAUACAAAAUAAGAAAACUAAAUUGCUCUUAGCCGACGACCUCGAUAAAUAGCCGCCGGCAAAGGUUGCAUUGCCGAAGGCGCAUACAAUAGCCGCCGGCAAAGAUUUUUUUUCCUUUUUUUGUUUGUUUGUGAUGUAAAUCAACCAUAUUGUAAACACAUAGAGCAAUAUAUAUUGUUGUUUAGACUGAACCCAAUUUGCACUUAUAAAAUUUAGUUUCCAAAAUCCUAAAUUUGCAUGGCCGGGAGUUAAUUAGUUACGACCGGUUCAUCGACGCAUGAAAUGACGAAACAAAUGGUUUCCCCGCUUUCCCCUUGUGCAUGGUGUGCCAUGUAUAUGUAAAUGAAGGGUGUGUUAAUGGUAAAAUCAAAUAUAGCCCUGAUGUGACACUUCCUUUGCAAACAAUACUAGCGAAUGUGCAUGAAUGUUCCGCACCUGAGGGGAAAAGUCUCAAUUAUUCAGACCGACGGGACAUAAUUUAGUCGGUCCAUGGGGUAGAUGUUUGCCUUUUCAUGUUGAUAUGUCCUAAUACAACACUAUGAUAUAGUAAAGUGACAUGAAAACCCAUGUUUUGGUGAAAAGCUAGUAACAAAGCACUAAGGAACAGUAAAACCCAAGCCCUAGUGACGAAAACACGCA